GCAUGGUCUGAUGAUGAAAGGCGCUUCGGCGUCACCUUGGGAUGGCCNUGCGGUGCAUUAGCUAGUUGGUGGGGUAACGGCUCACCAAGGCGACGAUGCAUAGCCGACCUGAGAGGGUGAUCGGCCACACUGGGACUGAGACACGGCCCAGACUCCUACGGGAGGCAGCAGUAGGGAAUCUUCCACAAUGGACGAAAGUCUGAUGGAGCAACGCCGCNGUGAGUGAUGAAGGUUUUCGGAUCGUAAAACUCUGUUGUAAGGGAAGAACAAGUACGAGAGGUAAUGCUCGUACCUUGACGGUACCUUGCGAGAAAGCCACGGCUAACUACGUGCCAGCAGCCGCGGUAAUACGUAGGUGGCAAGCGUUGUCCGGAAUUAUUGGGCGUAAAGCGCGCGCAGGCGGCCUUUUAAGUCUGAUGUGAAAGCCCCCGGCUCAACCGGGGAGGGUCAUUGGAAACUGGAAGGCUUGAGUACAGAAGAGAAGAGUGGAAUUCCAUGUGUAGCGGUGAAAUGCGUAGAGAUGUGGAGGAACACCAGUGGCGAAGGCGACUCUUUGGUCUGUAACUGACGCUGAGGCGCGAAAGCGUGGGGAGCAAACAGGAUUAGAUACCCUGGUAGUCCACGCCGUAAACGAUGAGUGCUAGGUGUUGGGGGGUUUCCGCCCCUCAGUGCUGAAGCUAACGCAUUAAGCACUCCGCCUG
RNAcentral lists this ribosomal RNA (701 nucleotides) under uncultured Exiguobacterium sp. RNAcentral's name for it is "bacterial SSU rRNA". It matches the Rfam family "Bacterial small subunit ribosomal RNA", at positions 188 to 875 of the family's 1533-position model. The record is from RNAcentral. Lineage: Bacteria; Bacillati; Bacillota; Bacilli; Caryophanales.